RNAcentral lists this ribosomal RNA (468 nucleotides) under uncultured bacterium. RNAcentral describes it as "partial 16S ribosomal RNA". It matches the Rfam family "Bacterial small subunit ribosomal RNA", at positions 28 to 507 of the family's 1533-position model. The record is from RNAcentral.
GACGAACGCUGGCGGCGUGCUUAACACAUGCAAGUCGAACGGAAAGGCCAUGCUUUUGUGGGGUUCUCGAGUGGCGAACGGGUGAGUAACACGUGAGUAACCUGCCCUUGACUUUGGGAUAACUUCAGGAAACUGGGGCUAAUACCGGAUAGGAGCUCCUGCUGCAUGGUGGGGGUUGGAAAGUUUCGGCGGGUGGGGAUGGACUGGCGGCUUAUCAGCUUGUUGGUGGGGGAGUGGCUUACCAAGGCAUUGACGGGUAGCCGGCCUGAGAGGGUGACCGGCCACAUGGGGACUGAGAUAGGGACCAGACGGCUACGGGAGGCAGCAGUGGGGAAUAUUACACAGUGGGCGGAAGCCUGAUGCAGCAACGCCGCGUGCGGGAUGACGGUCUUCGGGUUGUAAACCGCUUUCGCCUGUGACGAAGCGUGAGUGACGGUAAUGGGUAAAGAAGCACCGGCUAACUACGUG